This 492-nucleotide ribosomal RNA is filed under the name uncultured bacterium. RNAcentral describes it as "partial 16S ribosomal RNA". It matches the Rfam family "Bacterial small subunit ribosomal RNA", at positions 29 to 507 of the family's 1533-position model. The record is from RNAcentral.
AGUGAACGCUGGCGGUAGGCCUAACACAUGCAAGUCGAACGGCAGCACAGUAAGAGCUUGCUCUUACGGGUGGCGAGUGGCGGACGGGUGAGGCAUACAUCGGAAUCUACUUUUUCGUGGGGGAUAACGUAGGGAAACUUACGCUAAUACCGCAUACGACCUACGGGUGAAAGCAGGGGAUCUUCGGACCUUGCGCGAUUGAAUGAGCCGAUGUCGGAUUAGCUAGUUGGCGGUGUAAAGGCCCACCAAGGCGACGAUCCGUAGCUGGUCUGAGAGGAUGAUCAGCCACACUGGAACUGAGACACGGUCCAGACUCCUACGGGAGGCAGCAGUAGGGAAUAUUGGACAAUGGGCGCAAGCCUGAUCCAGCCAUACCGCGUGGGUGAAGAAGGCCUUCGGGUUGUAAAGCCCUUUUGUUGGGAAAGAAAAGCAGCAGGUUAAUACCCCGCUGUUCUGACGGUACCCAAAGAAUAAGCACCGGCUAACUUCGUG